UGCGUAGGCGGCGAUUCAAGUCAGAUGUGAAAUGCCUGAGCUCAACUGAGGCAUUGCGUUUGAAACUGAAUUGCUAGAGUAUUUCAGGGGUGUGCGGAACUGCCAGUGGAGCGGUGAAAUGUGUUGAUAUUGGCAGGAACACCGGAGGCGAAAGCGGCACACUGGGGAAUAACUGACGCUGAGGCACGAAAGCUAGGGGAGCGAACG
This 207-nucleotide ribosomal RNA is filed under the name uncultured bacterium. RNAcentral describes it as "partial 16S ribosomal RNA". It matches the Rfam family "Bacterial small subunit ribosomal RNA", at positions 568 to 774 of the family's 1533-position model. The record is from RNAcentral.